RNAcentral lists this ribosomal RNA (305 nucleotides) under uncultured bacterium. RNAcentral's name for it is "bacterial SSU rRNA". It matches the Rfam family "Bacterial small subunit ribosomal RNA", at positions 337 to 640 of the family's 1533-position model. The record is from RNAcentral.
UCCUACGGGGGGCAGCAGUGAGGAAUAUUGGUCAAUGGGCGCGAGCCUGAACCAGCCAAGUCGCGUGAGGGAAGACGGUCCUAUGGAUUGUAAACCUCUUUUGUCGGGGAGCAAAAGACGCCACGCGUGGCGUUCCGAGAGUACCCGAAGAAAAAGCAUCGGCUAACUCCGUGCCAGCAGCCGCGGUAAUACGGAGGAUGCGAGCGUUAUCCGGAUUUAUUGGGUUUAAAGGGUGCGUAGGCGGGCUUUUAAGUCAGCGGUAAAAAUUCGGGGCUCAACCCCGUCCGGCCGUUGAAACUGGGGGC